RNAcentral lists this non-coding RNA (56 nucleotides) under unclassified sequences. Its description in RNAcentral is "L31-Actinobacteria ribosomal protein leader". It matches the Rfam family "L31-Actinobacteria ribosomal protein leader". The record is from RNAcentral.
CAGGCUCCGGUUCACGCCAGCACGACCGCCACGACAGGCACGGCGACCCGGCGGCC